AGUGAACGCUGGCGGCAGGCCUAACACAUGCAAGUCGAGCGGCAGCGCGGGGGCAACCCUGGCGGCGAGCGGCGGACGGGUGAGGAAUGCAUCGGAAUCUACCUCGUUGUGGGGGGAUAACCUCGGGAAACCGGGACUAAUACCGCAUACGACCUACGGGUGAAAGUGGGGGACCUUCGGGCCUCACGCGAUGAGAUGAGCCGAUGCCGGAUUAGCUAGUUGGCGGGGUAAAGGCCCACCAAGGCGACGAUGCGUAGCCGACCUGAGAGGGUGAUCGGCCACACUGGGACUGAGACACGGUCCAGACUCCUACGGGAGGCAGCAGUGGGGAAUCUUGGACAAUGGACGAAAGUCUGAUCCAGCAAUUCUGCGUGCGGGAUGAAGGUCUAUGGAUUGUAAACCGCUUUUCUGAAGGAAGACGAAUGACGGUACUUCAGGAAUAAGCGACGGCUAACUUCGUGCCAGCAGCCGCGGUAAUGUACAGUGU
RNAcentral lists this ribosomal RNA (487 nucleotides) under uncultured bacterium. RNAcentral's name for it is "bacterial SSU rRNA". It matches the Rfam family "Bacterial small subunit ribosomal RNA", at positions 30 to 532 of the family's 1533-position model. The record is from RNAcentral.